UGUUAAAAAUUUCAUUCAUUUGUAUUGUUAAAACUGACUUGGCUGACAAAAUAACCAGAUAGUGCCAUGUAGCAUUUCACAUGUGCCUCAUGCUGAGGUAAAGUAACCAGUUUUUAACAGUAGAAAUAGAUGGAAUUUUAACA
Molecule: microRNA precursor, 143 nt
Organism: Gossypium arboreum
Lineage: Eukaryota; Viridiplantae; Streptophyta; Magnoliopsida; Malvales; Malvaceae
Rfam family: MIR7502 microRNA precursor family
Source: Rfam